AACGAACGCUGGCGGCAGGCCUAACACAUGCAAGUCGAACGGGUGUAGCAAUACAUCAGUGGCAGACGGGUGAGUAACGCGUGGGAAUCUCCCCAGAGGUACGGAACAACUCAGGGAAACUUGAGCUAAUACCGUAUGUGCCCGAGAGGGCAAAGAUUCAUCGCCUUUGGAUGAGCCCGCGUUGGAUUAGCUAGUUGGUGGGGUAACGGCCUACCAAGGCUACGAUCCANAGCUGAUCUGAGAGGAUGAUCAGCCACACUGGGACUGAGACACGGCCCAGACUCCUACGGGAGGCAGCAGUGGGGAAUCUUGGACAAUGGGCGCAAGCCUGAUCCAGCCAUGCCGCGUGUGUGAAGAAGGCCUGCGGGUUGUAAAGCACUUUCAGU
This 386-nucleotide ribosomal RNA is filed under the name uncultured bacterium. RNAcentral describes it as "bacterial SSU rRNA". It matches the Rfam family "Bacterial small subunit ribosomal RNA", at positions 29 to 440 of the family's 1533-position model. The record is from RNAcentral.